Long non-coding RNA from Arabidopsis thaliana (thale cress), 246 nucleotides. RefSeq annotates it as other RNA. The record is from RefSeq. NCBI's taxonomy places the organism in Eukaryota, Viridiplantae, Streptophyta, Magnoliopsida, Brassicales, Brassicaceae. The transcript has a single exon.
UGGUUGCCCAUAUUACCCAUUUCUAAUAUGUUCUCUCUCUCUUUUCCUUCUUCAAGCAAGCGAUAAAGUCUCAAAAGCUUAGAUAUGAUAACACCAAAACCGUGAAGACUCAGCUUCAAAACGUCAAAAAUCCCUAAAAGAGUAAUAACAAGGGGAAUGGAUUUGAUAGUUAAACCCUAACACAACAUCACAAGCCGAACAGAAAAAGGAGAAUGGGUGUCUGUGGGCUCGACCCAGGUCCAAUAU